RNAcentral lists this ribosomal RNA (483 nucleotides) under uncultured bacterium. RNAcentral's name for it is "partial 16S ribosomal RNA". It matches the Rfam family "Bacterial small subunit ribosomal RNA", at positions 30 to 507 of the family's 1533-position model. The record is from RNAcentral.
UUGAACGCUGGCGGCAGGCCUAACACAUGCAAGUCGAGCGGAUGAAGGGAGCUUGCUCCUGGAUUCAGCGGCGGACGGGUGAGUAAUGCCUAGGAAUCUGCCUGGUAGUGGGGGAUAACGUCCGGAAACGGGCGCUAAUACCGCAUACGUCCUGAGGGAGAAAGUGGGGGAUCUUCGGACCUCACGCUAUCAGAGGAGCCUAGGUCGGAUUAGCUAGUUGGUGGGGUAAAGGCCUACCAAGGCGACGAUCCGUAACUGGUCUGAGAGGAUGAUCAGUCACACUGGAACUGAGACACGGUCCAGACUCCUACGGGAGGCAGCAGUGGGGAAUAUUGGACAAUGGGCGAAAGCCUGAUCCAGCCAUGCCGCGUGUGUGAAGAAGGUCUUCGGAUUGUAAAGCACUUUAAGUUGGGAGGAAGGGCAGUAAGUUAAUACCUUGCUGUUUUGACGUUACCAACAGAAUAAGCACCGGCUAACUUCGUG